This 369-nucleotide ribosomal RNA is filed under the name uncultured bacterium. Its description in RNAcentral is "bacterial SSU rRNA". It matches the Rfam family "Bacterial small subunit ribosomal RNA", at positions 527 to 896 of the family's 1533-position model. The record is from RNAcentral.
GUAGGGUGCGAGCGUUAAUCGGAAUUACUGGGCGUAAAGCGUGCGCAGGCGGUUCGUUAAGUUCGAUGUGAAAGCCCCGGGCUCAACCUGGGAAUUGCAUUGGAAACUGGCGGGCUUGAGUGUGGCAGAGGGGGGUGGAAUUCCACGUGUAGCAGUGAAAUGCGUAGAGAUGUGGAGGAACACCGAUGGCGAAGGCAGCCCCCUGGGCUAACACUGACGCUCAGGCACGAAAGCGUGGGGAGCAAACAGGAUUAGAUACCCUGGUAGUCCACGCCCUAAACGAUGUCAACUGGGUGUUGGGGAAGCGAUUCCUCAGUACCGUAGCUAACGCGUGAAGUUGACCGCCUGGGGAGUACGGCCGCAAGGUUA